RNAcentral lists this ribosomal RNA (453 nucleotides) under uncultured Prevotella sp. RNAcentral describes it as "partial 16S ribosomal RNA". It matches the Rfam family "Bacterial small subunit ribosomal RNA", at positions 341 to 792 of the family's 1533-position model. The record is from RNAcentral. RNAcentral also lists the same sequence under 1 other name. Lineage: Bacteria; Pseudomonadati; Bacteroidota; Bacteroidia; Bacteroidales; Prevotellaceae.
ACGGGAGGCAGCAGUGAGGAAUAUUGGUCAAUGGGCGAGAGCCUGAACCAGCCAAGUAGCGUGAGGGAUGACUGCCCUAUGGGUUGUAAACCUCUUUUGUCCAGGAAUAAAAAACGGGACGUGUCCCGUCUUGCAGGUACUGGUUGAAUAAGGACCGGCUAAUUCCGUGCCAGCAGCCGCGGUAAUACGGAAGGUCCGAGCGUUAUCCGGAUUUAUUGGGUUUAAAGGGAGCGUAGGCGGAGAUGCAAGUCAGCCGUUAAAUCGUGGAGCUCAACUCCAUCCAGCGGUUGAAACUGCAUCCCUUGAGUACGGCAGGGGAAGGUGGAACUCGUGGUGUAGCGGUGAAAUGCAUAGAUAUCACGAAGAACUCCGAUCGCGAAGGCAGCCUUCCAGACCGCAACUGACGCUGAUGCUCGAAGGUGUGGGAAUCAAACAGGAUUAGAUACCCUGGUA